GCGGAAGGAUCAUUGUCGAU
RNAcentral lists this ribosomal RNA (20 nucleotides) under Macrolobium sp. Dexter 7087. RNAcentral describes it as "partial 18S ribosomal RNA". Lineage: Eukaryota; Viridiplantae; Streptophyta; Magnoliopsida; Fabales; Fabaceae. The record is from RNAcentral.